CCUACGGGAGGCUGCAGUGGGGAAUAUUGGGCAAUGGGCGCAAGCCUGACCCAGCAACGCCGCGUGAAGGAAGAAGGCUUUCGGGUUGUAAACUUCUUUUAAGAGGGAAGAGCAGAAGACGGUACCUCUUGAAUAAGCCACGGCUAACUACGUGCCAGCAGCCGCGGUAAUACGUAGGUGGCAAGCGUUAUCCGGAUUUACUGGGUGUAAAGGGAGCGUAGACGGUCCUGCAAGCCAGAUGUGAAAGCCCGGGGCCCAACCCCGGGACUGCAUUUGGAACUGUAAGGCUAGAGUGUCGGAGAGGCAGGCGGAAUUCCUAGUGUAGCGGUGAAAUGCGUAGAUAUCAGGAGGAAUACCGUUAGCGAAGGCGGCAAUCUGGCUGGAAACUGACGCUGAGGUGCGAAAGCGUGGGUAGCAAACAGGAUUAGAUACCCGGGUAGUC
Molecule: ribosomal RNA, 442 nt
Filed under: uncultured bacterium
Lineage: Bacteria
Description: partial 16S ribosomal RNA
Rfam family: Bacterial small subunit ribosomal RNA
Source: RNAcentral